UAUUACAUGGCCUGCUUACCAGUUGAGAAGCAGUCACUUACAAGGCAAGUCUGUGCACAUUCAUUUGCUUGUACAUCAUGAUACAAUAAAAAGGCCUGAGUUCCAUCUCUGUGUGAUACUGAGCAAGCUAGGCUUUUCCUGGGCCUGAGUCAUCUCAUCUUUUCUAGUUCUGGCAUGACCCAAUCCUACCUCCAUUGGCUCGGUGAUCUCAGGUUUCUUACUACCCUGGGCCCCCCGAGGAUCUCUGUUCUCUGAAGGCUGUUUUCUCCUGCCAGCUCACUCAGAGGAUUCAUGAUGACUGUGGUUGCCAUAGGAAUGAUUCAUCUAUCAUAAAGGUGGCUGCGUGAGAUCCCAAAUACUCAAAAGAGACCUAAAAGAGGGGGGAGUGAUAUUCAGAAUCAAGAGACAAAUCCACAAUGAGAGUGGAUGAUAGCUUAAUGAGAGUGGGAGAUAAGGUUUGCGCAUUUUAUUUUCUCUAAUUCUCAUGUGCAUUUGAACUUCUCCAAGAGCAUAAGUGCUGACCCACCGUCCAACUUAUCUACCAUGACCCCUCCCAUUGCUCACUCAAGUCACUUCCUCCACAAAAAUAGAAUGUGGUAUGCAAGCUGCAAGGAAGCAGUCCCUUCCUCGCCAGCUGCUGGAUGAAAAUGGAAGGUCAGGAUAGCCUAGGCUGAUCCUGGACACCAUACCCUGAGUAACUACUGUUGGCUGCUUGUUUAUAAUUCACUUGGCAUUCUAAGCAGGAGCUAGAGACAAUUUUGAAAAGAUUUAGUUUUCUAUGUAGACUGUUUAGUACUUAAACUCACUCUUUUUAUUUUUGAGGUGGACCAUUUGUAUUACUGCCAAUACUUCAAUGGUCAUUUUCUUCUUUUCUCUCCCUCGUAGGAUUUCACAAUAGCCUACACUCCAAUACUCACCCCAGCUCACACCUUAGACUGAGUAUUGAAACUCAGUUGUGAAUUGAUUAUCUUGCCAAUCUUGGUCAUAGUCUAGCCUCCUAUUCCAGCCAUAGAUGGCCAACCCCCCAACCCUAGCCAUGCACAGGACCCUCAUUUAGGCCACAGACAAUCCUGUGGGUGGCCAAAGAGUGACCACCAUUAAUUGGAGUAGGUUAUUUCACAAUGCCCCCAGAAGAGAGCAGAGGAGAGGAGAGGAGUGGUGGCUGGUCAGUGCUAGGGCCACACCUGACUGUGCAUGUCUCUAAGGAUGGGUCAGAGGCAUUUUAUUAUGAAAUACUGUACAUUAAUUUUUAUGGUUUCUUAGCGACAGGAUGCCAAUCAGACAGCUGUAAUCCAAGGAUUAAUUUUCUUUGUUAGGAAGGAGCUAGGAGCAGCAGGGUAGGGUGAGAGAACUUCCCAAGGUGAAAAAGAACUGACAGUGUAGUUUGAGGAUAAGGAAACCAAGCCAGCAGAAGAAGGAACCUCAGAGAGUUUGCUUUUGUUCCUUCAGACUCUUUGAAGCAGGAAUUCACCCUACUGCUGCUAUUGCUGGCUUCUGACUUCUGCCUUAAUUACCACUGUUGAUGGGUCCAAUUUCAAAUUAUAUGGCAUGUUCUUGAAUCACGUACAGAGCUUGUUCUGUGCACAAAACAUUGGCAGUAGAAGAUAAAUCAGGAUAGGAACAACAAGGCUUUGCAGGCUACAUCCCCUAGCAUGUUGGCUGGGUUUUGGAAAUACUGCAAUCACCAAGUCAGGUGGUUAGGUCGCUGAGACAUUACCCUGUGGCUCAUUCCCACUCUUUUGAGCACCUGCAAAUUUAUUACAUAAGAUAUUAUUUUGUACUCAAUUUAAUUAGUUCAAACUAUUUGUAGUCAUUUGAAAUACACUCCAUGUUGAUUAAAAUAAUUAGUGUAGGGCUACUAAAUAUUUACCUAAGAUAUGAAUCCAGGGGGAAUUUGAUAAAUUUAAUUAGCAAGAACUAAUUAUUGUUAUGAUAGGAGUUAAGGUUUAAUAAAUAUAAUUACAGAGCACAAAUGAUGGUUUCUUAAUUAAUAGAUACUAGUUGCAAACACAAGAGCCAUUAUCAUAUUUCCAUGCAGGACAUGGUAUUCAGCACACCUUCUAGAUGUCAACUCUAGCAGCAACGGCAACUUACAAUAAGAAGAGCUAACCCUUGAAAAGUACUUCUGGUGUCAGGCACAGUUCUAAGAGUUUUUAUCGUAUGAAUCCAUUUAUUCUUACAAGCCUCCUGUUGUCCACAUUUUACGUGGAUAGAAACUGAAGCUCAGAAAGGUUAAGUAAUUUUCCUAAGAUUACACAGCUAGGAUGUUGCAGAGCAGCAUUGGAUCCCAUGCAAUUUAGUCAAGCAUCAAUGCCCUUAACUACCAUCCCUCAUGCCUGAACCAAUCAACCAAACAACAAAAGUAAAAUCAGAAAGAGUGGGGUUGGCAUAUGCACACUGUGAUAUAUGGAAUGACUGACCUAUGUGGUCCUGCUGUAGAGCACAGGGAACUCUACCCAAUAUUCUGUGAUAAUUUCUAUGGGAAAAAAAUCUGAAAAAGCAUGGAUGUGCGGAUAUGUAUAAUUGAAUCACUUUGUUGUACAGAAGAAAUUACACAACAUUGUAAGACACCUAUCCUUCAAUAAAACAUUUAAUUUUAGCUUAGUUUAGUUUGUAUAAUGAUUUUUUCCAUUAUAGCUGGUUUACAGUGUUCUGUCAAUUUUCUACUGUAUAGCAAGGUGACCCAGUUACACAUACAUGUAUACAUUCUUUUUUCUCACGUUGUCAUGCUUCAUCAUAAGUGACUAGACAUAGUUCCCAGUGCUACACAGCAGGAUCUCACUAUUAACCCAUUCCAAAGGCAAUAGUCUGCAUCUAUUAACCCCAAGCUCCCCAUCCAUCCCACUCCCUCCCGCAAUAAGACAUUUUUAAACAGUUUUAAAAUGCACAACCAAAAAAACAGGAGAUGUGAAUGUUCGAUGUCAAAAGGUCAACAGCUGAAAUCCUCAACUCUACUUUGUUAUUCAAGUAUAAUAGACUCAUGCUAUUGCAGAUAUUUACACAAUUUUGGAGAGUCUAAAGAGACCCUGAAGGCACCUGGCCUUUUGUCAUCUAUAAUUUCGCUGAGGCUCAGAUGUGGAAAGGCUGAGGUGCUUAAACUUAUGAGUAGUGAGCCUAGCUACAUGUUUAGAGCUUCAUUCCAAGAGUGCUUCCCUAUCUGGCUCACUCCGCACACACAUUAUUGGGGAAUUUUCUAUCAUCAUGGCAUUUGCAAGUUUGGAGAAUCAAGAGAGUAUCAGGAAUCCACUGAUCCACUGUGUAACAAACUACUGAAGUACAGUUUGUACUUCAACUAAUCACGGACAUGCACCUCAUUCAGUUUAGGAUAUUUAAUGCUAAGAAUCCUUCCAAAAAUGCUCCUGAAUCACUGCCUAUCUGAUCACAAGCAUAGCAGGUUCCGUAUGUUCAGGCCCUGAUAUAUUGCACUCCUAUUAGAAAAGGCCUUUCUUCAAGAGGGUCUGGCUCAUUUCUAAUAUGAUAGGGCUUGAGUGAUGUAUGCGAACUCUGUUCAUGAAUUCACAGGCAAUGCACUGACUCUCCCAUCACACUCCCCUUGCUGCCAGGGAUAUAUCUGUAAGGACAAUGACUCUUAUCUAGGGACAAGUACAUAAGGCAAUCCAUGUCAAUGAACCCACUAUAGCACUCGAGCUAUAUUCAGCAUUGGUUGCAUAUUUUCCAAUAUUUGUAAUAAAUGAAGAACUAAAAACUUUGGCGUCAGUGACCAGGAUCCCGUUGCAGGCUGGUGUUUCAGGAUGCCCAGUGGAACAGCCUCCCAUGUGCUUCUCCAUCCACAUGGUCGGAGGAGCCAUAAGUGGGUCAGAUAUGAAAAUCAUUGAUUGUAGAUCCCAAAUGAGAGCCAUUUCAGGAGGAAACAGAUCAGGACCCUGACAUAGAUUACACAUCCCUAGGGCCUCCAAGGACAGCCUGACUUGGAGAGAUCAGUUUCCUAAGUAGAUUAUUUGACAGCAACGUGCAUGAAGAGGAAUGUUUCCACGUGGAAACAUCGGCUGUAUUCUUCACACUCUGCAUUUGUGUCCCUUGCUCUGUCCAGACCAGAAGUCUCUCCUUCAGCCCCCUGGUCUGGGUAGUCUUGCAAAUCAGCAGCUUCUUCAAGAGGAAGAUCAGAUUUAGGGGUAGGUUGCACCACAAGUUAAUCUUUCAGAAAUACACCCAUGCUGGCUUGUUUCUAAAGUUCCUCAAGGUCACUCAUGCAGCCCACCUUAACUGUAAUGGAGAGAAAUCUCUAUAAACUUUCCCUAGGUUCUGUGCUGAAUCAUACAGCAGUGACAUUUUCCCUUGGUCACAUGCUCCUAUCUACUGUUCAACGGGAGCUCAACUCAUGGAAGGGAAUACUGAUGAGUCAGUCCCAGGAUGACGCUCACUGCAUGUUUAAUGGGAGACUCUUCCUGACCUUGAUACAGUUUCACACAACAGGUGACAAGUCAGUGCCUCAUUCUAUGCCCCACUACACACAAAUUUUGGCCACACAAUCUUAUCCAAGGAUUGAUGAAAGUUGGUCAUUUUGUUAUAAUGGGGGAGGUCUGUGGAUAUCAAUAAAACUGGCAUCCUAAGUGAGAACUAAGUGAGAUCCAAGAUGGAAAGUGAAUUGAGGCAGGCCUAGACCUCAAAUCUUCUCAUUUCAACUCAGGGCUCCUUCCAUUGUGUGCAAAAUGAUGAACAUCAUCUCUCUAGAAUAUAUGUCCUGCAGGCGUCACUAAUUGUCAUUUUGAAAUCUGGACAAUGUUCGGAAUAUGUGAUUUAGCUUCUUCCAAAAUGAUUGAAUUAUUCACAUUAGCUACAGGAAACAAGACUAUUAGACUCAAUGAAAGCUAGAGCUUUCCUAGAGUCUUUUCCUAGAAGAGUUUGAUUGGCAGCUGUCAUAGGCGCGGUCCCCAGAUCCCAGCAUAUAUUCUUCCCCAGUGUCCCUCACAUCAAGAUUUCUUCCCUUGUGCCUUUGGGACCUUGGGGAGUGUCACAGCUUCACUCAUGGGACAAACGGAUAAUUUUUAUCAGGAACGUGAAAGAACAGCAUUAAGGGGAGUUUGCAAAAACCCAGACUAAGACUCAUGGCUUUCUAUUCAAAGUGGAGUUAUGGAAGAUCUGGAUUGGUGCCAAAAAGCAGAACCAGCCUAGGAAUCACCUCCCUCAGGCUCAUAUUUGUUUUGAAGAAAUGGCAUUUCUCCCUCUGGUCAAUCCUGAAACACAGUUUAAUCUAAGGGGAGCAUCAUGGGAGGGGGAAAAAAAAAGAGGAUGAGAAAAACCAAUAAAUAGUAAUAACAGGAAGCAGGAAAAGAUAGGCCUGGAUGUGCAAUUCUUUUUGUGCCUGUUAAAUGAACUCUGGUGGGGAUGAGGAGAGAGAAUUAUCCUAUUUAUAUAUUGAAAGGAAUUUUAAAUAUGCAUAGGCAGGGAGAGAGGAUCCACAGAGAUUGAAAUGCAAAACACAGCAUGGUCUGUGCUUCUCCCCUUCUAUCUCCCAGUACCAUUAGCAAGUUCCUUGCACCAAUUUCUGGAAAGCUCCUUCUCAAACUCAGAGCCCUGCCUUCUGCUGACUCAGCAUUUCUAUCUUAGAAAAGCAAUUCUAUUUUUACAAAGAAAUGGGCCUUCCCUUGCAAAACACUUUGCAAACGAACUCAUACAGGAACAGAGCUCACAUCUCUACACUGAUGCACACACACACAUCCACCCAACCCAUUAACACACAGACACACACAAACACACAUAUACACACACAUAGUACAACACCUCCAUCUCCACCAUAACCUCCAGGCUGCUUAGCACUAGGGUUUUAGAUAUUGUAGGUUCAUAACAUGCACAUGGAAAGAAACGGUGUUGUCAUGCAGGGAGCCGUGGGAGCGUGAUUAAAAGGCAUGGGAAAGGUCAUCAUUCAACUGAUCACAGUCCCUUCGGGAACAAGUCAAAGACAGAAAACUGGCCAUAUUUCCUCAUUCAUAUACUUCACAUUGAAGAGGGAAUCUUUUGUCACACAUAAAUCUCUCCUUCCUCACAAAAUCUCCCCUCUCACUGUCCCCACCAAGCACAUGUUACCACUCCUAAAACAGCAAGAGAUACUUUCCUCAGUGGCUUCAAUGAGGGACAAAUAAAUCCUUGAGUAGCUGCUGCUGGCUCCCCUAUCACAGACUGACACACCCUAAGUCCCAAGCCAAAGUCCUGAGAGAAAGAGGAAUUGCUAAAUUAAAACAAGACUUUUGUCAAUCGUCCUAAUUGUUCUCCACUCCCAGUCUCUCCCUUCUCUGCAUCUGCCAGGAUCACACAAAGCCCUUGGCCCUCUUCAGGUCUGUUGAUUUACAGAAUUCAGUCACUGACCUGGGUAUUACUUUGGGAAAGUUGCCAUUCUCUGGUUACGUAUAGGAGAGGAUCUUGGCCAUUCACCAAAACCCAGGAAGAUGCCCUUUGCCAAAUUCCUGACCUGCUUGCAGGCCCAGUCACAUUCUGCAGGGCUUGCCUGGCUAAUACCUCCUUAUCCUUUUAAGUAUACCAUCACUUUCUCUCGAAAUCUGGCUCUGCUACUUCCCUCCUGACGUUUGCAUCUUUGCAGUUUGGAAGGGAGCGGGUUGCAAGGAAAGGAAAGAUAACCAAUUUCCAUGCUGAGGUUCUGAGACAUGAGGGUUUUGGCAUUUCUAUGGGAAUCCAGUGAUGAGAUGUAGUGAACAGCUGGCUCUUUGGGCCUGGAUAUCAGGGCAGAAAACAGGUUCAGAAACAACCUUGUGAAUUCCCCUGAAGGCACUGGCAUUGAGGAAGUCCCCAGGGGUAGCCCAGGGUUGAUGCAGCCCCGGGAACCCACCCUUCAGAGGGCUGAUGCCACACACGGAGAACAGAGAUGAAGUCAGUUCUAUGUGAAGAGUUUUCAGCAGGCCCAGAUUCAGAAAUACCAGGACAAAUCAUCAUCACUGUAAUUACGUUAAUGUAACAUUUCUCACUGAGAAUCCAGCGAAGUGCUUACAUCAACAUUAAGCUUUCAGGCAAUCAAAGACCGAAUUUUCAAAAGCCUGAAAAUGGUAUUAAUGUGUGAAAAACC
This 7036-nucleotide long non-coding RNA is filed under the name Sus scrofa (pig). RNAcentral's name for it is "lncRNA (ENSSSCG00000047802.1)". The record is from RNAcentral. Lineage: Eukaryota; Metazoa; Chordata; Mammalia; Artiodactyla; Suidae.